AACGAACGCUGGCGGCAUGCCUACCACAUGCAAGUCGAACGAGACCUUCGGGUCUAGUGGCGCACGGGUGCGUAACGCGUGGGAACCUGCCCUUAGGUUCGGAAUAACUCCCCGAAAGGGGUGCUAAUACCGGAUAAUGUCUUCGGACCAAAGAUUUAUCGCCUUUGGAUGGGCCCGCGUUGGAUUAGCUAGUUGGUAGGGUAAAAGCCUACCAAGGCGACGAUCCAUAGCUGGUCUGAGAGGAUGAUCAGCCACACUGGGACUGAGACACGGCCCAGACUCCUACGGGAGGCAGCAGUGGGGAAUAUUGGACAAUGGGCGAAAGCCUGAUCCAGCAAUGCCGCGUGAGUGAUGAAGGCCUUAGGGUUGUAAAGCUCUUUUAACCGGGAUGAUAAUGACAGUACCGGGAGAAUAAGCUCCGGCUAACUCCGUG
This 433-nucleotide ribosomal RNA is filed under the name uncultured bacterium. RNAcentral describes it as "partial 16S ribosomal RNA". It matches the Rfam family "Bacterial small subunit ribosomal RNA", at positions 29 to 507 of the family's 1533-position model. The record is from RNAcentral.